Portunus trituberculatus (swimming crab) is the source of this 517-nucleotide long non-coding RNA. RefSeq lists it as uncharacterized. The transcript has 3 exons. The record is from RefSeq and is a predicted model, not a curated record. NCBI's taxonomy places the organism in Eukaryota, Metazoa, Arthropoda, Malacostraca, Decapoda, Portunidae.
AAACGAAGAAGAAAGGAGAAAUAGAAGUGAAAGAGGAGGAGGAGCCAAGCCGCAAUGUUUAGGAUGUACCGGUGUCCCAAGCUGGUGGAUGUCCCGGUGGUGGUGGAGCUGCCCUCUGUCAUGUACAAAAUGGCACCUUUCACCUUAAAAGGCCACGAUUCGAGUCCCGCCCAGCUGAUGCAAACUUCCAAGCCCUGCCCAUCCUGCAGCUCCCGCGAGUGAUCCUGUACGCCCUGCCGCUGCUGCCGCUCCUGCUGGUGGUGACCCUGACAAUGAGAGUCAACCUGUGCUCUGUUCUCAUGGACUUUUACCAUUAUCGUGUGCUGUGAGUGGCGUAGAGCACUGACUGACUAUUAUUAGUAUUAUUAUUAUUACUAUUGUUGUUAUUAUUAUUAUUAUUAUUAUUAUUAUUAUUACUAUUACUAUUAUUAUUACUAUUAUUAUUAUUAUUAUUGUUAUUGUUGUUGUUGUUGUUGUUUUGACGUGUACAAGUUGAUAUAUAAAUAAUUUGCCUGUA